Molecule: small nuclear RNA, 67 nt
Filed under: Heterocephalus glaber (naked mole-rat)
Lineage: Eukaryota; Metazoa; Chordata; Mammalia; Rodentia; Bathyergidae
Description: U4 spliceosomal RNA
Rfam family: U4 spliceosomal RNA
About the family: U4 small nuclear RNA (U4 snRNA) is a component of the major U2-dependent spliceosome. The structure of U4 snRNA from yeast and human has been reported.
Source: Rfam by way of RNAcentral
AGCUUUGUACAGUGGCAGUAUCGUAGCCAAUGAGGUUUAUCCAAGGCAUGAUUAUUGCUAUUUUAGA